RNAcentral lists this unclassified non-coding RNA (220 nucleotides) under plant metagenome. Its description in RNAcentral is "partial contains small subunit ribosomal RNA, internal transcribed spacer 1, and 5.8S ribosomal RNA". The record is from RNAcentral.
UUUCCGUAGGUGAACCUGCGGAAGGAUCAUUACAGAGUUCAUGCCCUCACGGGUAGAUCUCCCACCCUUGAAUAUUUAUACCUUAGUUGCUUUGGCAGGCCGUGGAAACACCAUGGGCUCCGGCUUAUGCGUGCCUGCCAGAGGAAACAAACUCUGUUUUUAGUGUUGUCUGAGUACUAUAUAAUAGUUAAAACUUUCAACAACGGAUCUCUUGGUUCUG